Molecule: unclassified non-coding RNA, 323 nt
Filed under: soil metagenome
Description: partial contains 5.8S ribosomal RNA, internal transcribed spacer 2, and large subunit ribosomal RNA
Rfam family: 5.8S ribosomal RNA (bases 1-120)
Source: RNAcentral
GAUGAAGAACGUAGCGAAAUGCGAUGAGUAAUGCGAAUUGCAGAAUUCAGUGAGUCAUCGAAUCUUUGAACGCACAUUGCGCCCUGUGGUAUUCCGCAGGGCAUGCCUGUUCGAGCGUCAUUUCAACCCUCAAGCUCUGCUUGGUGUUGGGCCCUGCCCGCUGCGGCCGGCCCUAAAGACAGUGGCGGUGCCGCCUGGCCCUGAGCGUAGUACAUCUCUCGCUCCAGUGCCCGGUGGUAGCCUGCCAGAACCCCAACUCUCGUGGUUGACCUCGGAUCAGGUAGGGAUACCCGCUGAACUUAAGCAUAUCAAUAAGCGGAGGA